RNAcentral lists this ribosomal RNA (423 nucleotides) under uncultured bacterium. RNAcentral's name for it is "partial 16S ribosomal RNA". It matches the Rfam family "Bacterial small subunit ribosomal RNA", at positions 360 to 774 of the family's 1533-position model. The record is from RNAcentral.
AAUUUUCCGCAAUGGACGAAAGUCUGACGGAGCGACGCCGUGUGAGUGAUUAAGGUCUUCGGAUCGUAAAACUCUGUUGUUAGGGAAGAACAAGUAUCGACCGAAUAAGUCGGUACCUUGACGGUACCUAACCAGAAAGCCCCGGCUAACUACGUGCCAGUAGCCGCGGUAAUACGUAGGGGGCGAGCGUUGUCCGGAAUUAUUGGGCGUAAAGGGCGCGCAGGCGGUUUUUUAAGUCUGAUGUGAAAUCUCGCAGGUUAACUGCGGGCGGUCAUUGAAAACUGGAAAGAUUGAGUACAGAAGAGGAGAGUGGAAUUCCACGUGUAGCGGUGAAAUGCGUAGAGAUGUAGAGGAACACCAGUGGCGAAGGCGACUCUCUGGUCUGUAACUGACGCUGAGGCGCGAAAGCGUGGGUAGCGAACA